This 357-nucleotide long non-coding RNA is filed under the name Mytilus galloprovincialis (Mediterranean mussel). Lineage: Eukaryota; Metazoa; Mollusca; Bivalvia; Mytilida; Mytilidae. The record is from RNAcentral.
CCGAAGAUGUUUUACUGGUAAAAUUGUUUAUACAAAAACAAAUGUAACUAAAUGUGGAUAACCAAACUUUUCAAACACAGGCUUUUAUUAAGUAAUAUUGACCGUGCAUGCCAGCUACUAGGAAAUCAUAGGAUCAAUUUGAACAAACUCGUAAUUAUAAAUGGUAGAAUCUUUCAAAAAGACUACUUCAGUUUUAAGGUUUAUUUGGAUAUAUUCAAGUGAACGAUAAUAGAUUUGAGAGAUCAUUGUACAUUCAAAACAAAAACAAACCCUACGCUACUUAUUCAGAGGCGGAUUCGGUCAUUUUAAAAAAGGGGUCUCAACCCAGGAUAAAAGCAUUUAAAUGCAUUGAUCGUC